CCUCCUGCCUUGGCUUGCCAUAGUGCUGGGACUACCGGGGAUUUGCAAUGGAGUACUCUGGGGAACAACAUCCGUAAGGGAGUGGAGGAAGCUAGAGUAAGCUGAAAGAGAUGUUGAGCUGCACUGCAGUAUCAUGGACGCUUCAGGAAAUUCCACUGGGAGCUCUGAAGCUGGGAAGGCUUUUCAGAGAUGUUCAUAAUUGAGAUGGAGUUUUGCUCUUGUUGCCCAGGUUGGAAUGCAAUGG
This is a long non-coding RNA of Sapajus apella (tufted capuchin), 244 nucleotides long. RefSeq lists it as uncharacterized. The record is from RefSeq and is a predicted model, not a curated record. NCBI's taxonomy places the organism in Eukaryota, Metazoa, Chordata, Mammalia, Primates, Cebidae. The transcript has 3 exons.